GUAGCGACGGAUAGCAACCACGUGAUCAAUAAAAAUUGUGUAUUUUCACGUGAAUUCAUUUUCCGGAAUUCCUUACUCCGUCAUAGAAUAGUCGAAAAACAAAAAGGGGUUCCGAAAGUGUUUUAUUGCUGUGACUGACUCGCCUACAUAUACGUCAAUAUCUGUAAUAAUUGUAGAUCAGAUGUUUCAUCUGUGUGAAACUUUUUGCUAAUCGAAAUGUUAAACCAACCACCAAUCCAUGUACAUAGAUGCGCUACGUAAACAAAGUUGUUGGUUGAUACAUCGUAAUGUCCGAGUGCAGCAUGCUGCGAGAUUAAAUACUGUUUAUACAGUCAUUGAGAGGCUAAACAAAGUUUCUUGCAAGAAGAGGAAGUUGGUGGAUGCAUUCAACUUGGACAACGAAAUCAUAGUUUCGUUUGGCAUCAGCCUGAGGACCAAGGGAAGUUAGAUAGGACCAGUGCAGGUUGAAGUGGAUUUCGAGUCAACAAGUAUAACAGCAAAAGAGGUACUCCAUUUACAGUGAUGAUGACAUAUACCCUGGACCCCCACAACUCCACAAAUUUAAAAAUGUUUGAUCAAGUUCUGAAGAUUAAAGAACUACUGCAAAAUUUGGGACUUGGAUGAAAAACAUUAAUUCACUUGUAUGAGCUCAGGGCAGUGUAUGUUGUACAACAUACUUUAUACUAAAUUGUGAAUUUAAGGGAGAACAAGUACAUGUACUCGUGUAUUACAUGUACAUGCCUUUUGAAAGACAAUAAUAUUGCAUAGAUGUAAAGGAAAUUUCAAUGAAUGAAAUAUGAA
Molecule: long non-coding RNA, 801 nt
Organism: Ostrea edulis (European flat oyster)
Lineage: Eukaryota; Metazoa; Mollusca; Bivalvia; Ostreida; Ostreidae
Exons: 3
Source: RefSeq, a predicted model, not a curated record